Molecule: ribosomal RNA, 447 nt
Filed under: uncultured bacterium
Lineage: Bacteria
Description: bacterial SSU rRNA
Rfam family: Bacterial small subunit ribosomal RNA
Source: RNAcentral
CGCCAGACUCCUACGGGAGGCAGCAGUGGGGAAUAUUGCACAAUGGGGGAAACCCUGAUGCAGCGACGCCGCGUGAGCGAUGAAGUAUUUCGGUAUGUAAAGCUCUAUCAGCAGGGAAGAAAAUGACGGUACCUGACUAAGAAGCCCCGGCUAACUACGUGCCAGCAGCCGCGGUAAUACGUAGGGGGCAAGCGUUAUCCGGAUUUACUGAGUGUAAAGGGGGCGCAGACGGCGAUGCAAGCCAGGAGUGAAAGCCCGGGGCCCAACCCCGGGACUGCUCUUGGAACUGCGUGGCUGGAGUGCAGGAGGGGCAGGCGGAAUUCCUGGUGUAGCGGUGAAAUGCGUAGAUAUCAGGAGGAACACCGGUGGCGAAGGCGGCCUGCUGGACUGCAACUGACGUUGAGGCCCGAAAGCGUGGGGAGCAAACAGGAUUAGAUACCCUUGUAA